Molecule: ribosomal RNA, 1552 nt
Filed under: Chondromyces sp. canine oral taxon 128
Lineage: Bacteria; Pseudomonadati; Myxococcota; Polyangiales; Polyangiaceae
Description: bacterial SSU rRNA
Rfam family: Bacterial small subunit ribosomal RNA
Source: RNAcentral
GAGUUUGAUCCUGGCUCAGAACGAACGUUAGCGGCGCGCCUAACACAUGCAAGUCGAACGAGAAAGGGCUACGGCCCCGGUACAGUGGCGCACGGGUGAGUAACACGUAGGUAACCUACCUCCGAGUGGUGGAUAACAUUCCGAAAGGGGUGCUAAUACAGCAUAAGACCACGGCAUCGAAAGAUAUUGGGGUCAAAGCGGGCCUCUUUAUUAAAAGCUCGCGCUUGGAGAUGGGCCUGCGGCGCAUCAGCUAGUUGGCGAGGUAACGGCUCACCAAGGCAAAGACGCGUAGCUGGUCUGAGAGGAUGGCCAGCCACACUGGAACUGAGACACGGUCCAGACUCCUACGGGAGGCAGCAGUGGGGAAUUUUGCGCAAUGGACGAAAGUCUGACGCAGCGACGCCGCGUGGGUGAUGAAGGCCUCCGGGUUGUAAAACUCUGUGGAGAGGGAAGAAUAACAUACGGUUAAUACCCGUACGGAUGACGGUACCUCUUCAGCAAGCACCGGCUAACUCUGUGCCAGCAGCCGCGGUAAGACAGAGGGUGCGAACGUUGUUCGGAAUUACUGGGCGUAAAGCGCGUGUAGGCGGUUGUGCGGGUCGGACGUGAAAGCCCUGGGCUUAACCUAGGAAGUGCAUUCGAAACUGCAUAGCUCGAGUUCCGGAGAGGAUGGUGGAAUUCUCGGUGUAGAGGUGAAAUUCGUAGAUAUCGAGAGGAACACCGGUGGCGAAGGCGGCCAUCUGGACGGAAACUGACGCUGAGACGCGAAAGCGUGGGUAGCAAACAGGAUUAGAUACCCUGGUAGUCCACGCCGUAAACGAUGGGUGCUAGGUGUCGCGGGCUUUGACCCCUGCGGUGCCGCAGCUAACGCAUUAAGCACCCCGCCUGGGGAGUACGGCCGCAAGGCUAAAACUCAAAGGAAUUGACGGGGGCCCGCACAAGCGGUGGAGCAUGUGGUUUAAUUCGAUGCAACGCGAAGAACCUUACCUGGGCUAGAAAACACGCGAAUCCGGCGGAAAGGUCGGAGUGCCUCUCGAGGAAUGCGUGGUUAGGUGCUGCAUGGCUGUCGUCAGCUCGUGUCGUGAGAUGUUGGGUUAAGUCCCGCAACGAGCGCAACCCUUGUCGCUAGUUGCCAGCGAGUUAUGUCGGGAACUCUAGCGAGACUGCCGAUCUUAAAAUCGGAGGAAGGUGGGGAUGACGUCAAGUCAUCAUGGCCCCUAUGUCCAGGGCUACACACGUGCUACAAUGGCCGGCACAAAGGGUUGCCAACCAGCGAUGGCGCGCCAAUCCCAAAAAACCGGCCUCAGUACAGAUAGAAGUCUGCAACUCGACUUCUUGAAGGCGGAAUCGCUAGUAAUCGCUGAUCAGCAGGCAGCGGUGAAUACGUUCCCGGGCCUUGUACACACCGCCCGUCACACCAUGGGAGUUGUUUGCUCCAGAAGUGGCCGAGCCAACCCUUCACCGGGAGGUAAGCCCCUAAGGAGUGAAUGAUGACUGGGGUGAAGUCGUAACAAGGUAGCCGUAGGAGAACCUGCGGCUGGAUCACCUCCUU